Molecule: unclassified non-coding RNA, 990 nt
Filed under: Hevea brasiliensis (rubber tree)
Lineage: Eukaryota; Viridiplantae; Streptophyta; Magnoliopsida; Malpighiales; Euphorbiaceae
Source: RNAcentral
GUUUGAAUUAGAAAAUUCUAAAAUCUUCCAGUUCGUUCCAUUUGCGUUUGUCAAUUCCCUAAAUUCCAUUGCUAAUCUCAUACCUUUCCUAAAAAUUGAAAUUUCAAAAUUCGAAUUUCCUCAAAAUUACACAAACAAUCCUACAAUUUUCCCUAUAAUCCUUCAAUUUUUUGUGUUAUCUAGGGUUUUCAUUGGCUCACCCAUGGGUGAAAGGAAAAUAGAGGACUUGCCUCUCCCAUAUCUGUUCGAGCAAGCUCGGAAGAUCCAUUUAACCGCUACAGAGUCCGCUGCUGAUCAGGAGAUGGUGAAGAAGGGAUGUGAGGCACUGGAGAGAUGUGAGGAAAUGAUAAAUAAACUUGGGUUAUUCUCAGCUAAUGAGACCAAGGAUGAUAUCGCCACCACCGAUCUUAAAUAUAUUUUGGUUCCAUAUUAUCUUGCUGAGCUAACUGAAAAAAUAUCACAGGAUGAUAGGAUACAAAUUCUUAAGGCUUCCCAGGCAAAGUUAAAGGAAUUCCUUUCUUUUUGUGAGACAAUGGAACUUGUACCAGAGGAGGAAUUACGUGCAUCUUCUCAAGGAGGUCCAAAUUCUUUUGCAGAAAGAAGAGCCCAAAAGAUUGCACGGUUCAAUCGUCAAAGAGCUGCUCAAGCAAAGCUGCUGGAAGUAAAGGAGCAGAAAGAGCGACGUGGUCGUUCAACUAGAGCUACUGCCCUAUCAACUCCAGUUGAGGCUGGUGAAGAGGAUUUAUCGGAUGAUGAUGGAGAAGAAGAACGGGAGGCUUGGCUUACUACCAUUUCUUUGUCCAUCUGUAAGGCAUUCGACCUACUCGAAAUGUUAAAGAAAGAAGAAGAAAUGCUUUCUGCUGUAAAGGAAAGGCAACUUAAGGAAGGGGACAAGGAAUUUUCUCAAGCUAUUCUUGAUGAGCGAACAAAAAAAGCAGAAGGGUGGCAUCGUGAUGCCGCUACUCGAGCACAAUAUACCAAGCCAGCAGC